RNAcentral lists this ribosomal RNA (460 nucleotides) under uncultured bacterium. Its description in RNAcentral is "partial 16S ribosomal RNA". It matches the Rfam family "Bacterial small subunit ribosomal RNA", at positions 338 to 795 of the family's 1533-position model. The record is from RNAcentral.
CCUACGGGCGUCAGCAGUGAGGAAUAUUGGUCAAUGGACGAGAGGCUGAACCAGCCAAGUAGCGUGAAGGAUGACGGCCCUAUGGGUUGUAAACUUCUUUUAUAUGGGAGUAAAGUGUUCCACGUGUGGGGUUUUGUGUGUACCCGAUGAAUAAGGAUCGGCUAACUCCGUGCCAGCAGCCGCGGUAAUACGGAGGAUCCGAGCGUUAUCCGGAUUUAUUGGGGUUAAAGGGAGCGUAGGUGGAUUGUUAAGUCAGUUGUGAAAGUUUGCGGCUCAACCGUAAAAUUGCAGUUGAAACUGGGAGUCUUGAGUACAGUAGAGGUGGGCGGAAUUCGUGGUGUAGCGGUGAAAUGCAUAGAUAUCACGAAGAACUCCGAUUGCGAAGGCAGCUCACUGGCCUGCAACUGACACUGAGGCUCGAAAGUGUGGGUAUCAAACAGGAUUAGAUACCCGAGUAGUC